GAUGAAGAACGCAGCGAAAUGCGAUAAGUAGUGUGAAUUGCAGAAUUCAGUGAAUCAUCGAAUCUUUGAACGCACAUUGCGCCUCCUGGCAUUCCGGGAGGCAUGCCUGUUCGAGCGUCAUCAAACCCCAUCGUGCAAAUGAAUUAUUUUUUUUGCGCGGAAGUGACGAUUGAGCGAGAAUAACAAAUCCUCUCGCACCUCGUCGAAAUGAUUGCGGGCGGAAUUUGGGAUCGGGUUCCUCGGCGUAGUGUAUCAAUGCAUAUUUAUGCAACUUGCCGCGGAGUUGAGCCUGACCCACGCGUUCUCGCCGUACAAACUCCUCAUUACUUUACAAGUUUUUGACCUCGGAUCAGGUAGGGAUACCCGCUGAACUUAAGCAUAUCAAUAAGCGGAGGA
RNAcentral lists this unclassified non-coding RNA (396 nucleotides) under soil metagenome. RNAcentral's name for it is "partial contains 5.8S ribosomal RNA, internal transcribed spacer 2, and large subunit ribosomal RNA". The stretch from base 1 to 120 matches the Rfam family "5.8S ribosomal RNA", at positions 35 to 154 of the family's 154-position model. The record is from RNAcentral.